CCAGCAACCAUGUCCGACACAACGCCCAAGCAGAGCAGCUCCUUGUCCGGUAGGCCAUCAAGGGGGUCAUAUGCUCCUAUCUGCUUUCUAACUUGCAUCGCAUGCAACACGCAACGCGCGACGCACAACACGCAACGCCGAAUAUAUAAAAGGCUAUGCCAUUUGACUCAUCCCUUCUGACAAUGAGAAAUAAAAUGAUGAUGCGCAAGACGUCAAACCCAGGAAACGAUCUAUUUAGACUAAAACGCUGGAGACAUUUAUGCUUGGGAACCGGUAGUAUUUGAUAGAUCUGAAUCUCAGGAGCAUUUUUAUACCAAAAUAUGUGCUGGGCCCGACUUGUGGAAUGAGAUACGGACGUUUGCAUCCUACAUAUAUGUCGAGCGGAAGGAACAAAAGAUGAAGUUAAACAGUGGCUAAACGAG
RNAcentral lists this small RNA (422 nucleotides) under Cryptococcus neoformans H99. RNAcentral describes it as "Cryptococcus neoformans var. grubii H99 hypothetical RNA". The record is from RNAcentral. Lineage: Eukaryota; Fungi; Basidiomycota; Tremellomycetes; Tremellales; Cryptococcaceae.